GAUGAACGCUGGCGGCGUGCCUAAUACAUGCCAGUCGAGCGAACGGACGAGAAGCUUGCUUUUCUGAUGUUAGCGGCGGACGGGUGAGUAACACGUGGAUAACCUACCUAUAAGACUGGGAUAACUUCGGGAAACCGGAGCUAAUACCGGAUAAUAUUUUGAACCGCAUGGUUCAAAAGUGAAAGACGGUCUUGCUGUCACUUAUAGAUGGAUCCGCGCUGCAUUAGCUGGUUGGUAAGGUAACGGCUUACCAAGGCAACGAUGCAUAGCCGACCUGAGAGGGUGAUCGGCCACACUGGAACUGAGACACGGUCCAGACUCCUACGGGAGGCAGCAGUAGGGAAUCUUCCGCAAUGGGCGAAAGCCUGACGGAGCAACGCCGCGUGAGUGAUGAAGGUCUUCGGAUCGUAAAACUCUGUUAUUAGGGAAGAACAUAUGUGUAAGUAACUGUGCACAUCUUGACGGUACCUAAUCAGAAAGCCACGGCUAACUACGUG
Molecule: ribosomal RNA, 497 nt
Filed under: uncultured bacterium
Lineage: Bacteria
Description: partial 16S ribosomal RNA
Rfam family: Bacterial small subunit ribosomal RNA
Source: RNAcentral